Molecule: RNA transcript, 2209 nt
Organism: Dreissena polymorpha
Lineage: Eukaryota; Metazoa; Mollusca; Bivalvia; Myida; Dreissenidae
Exons: 7
Source: RefSeq, a predicted model, not a curated record
UCCCGAUAAAGAUCUGCACAUGUAACCAUGAAAUGUUAAUCUUGAACAUAUAAAAGUCACCAUCACCAAACAUACUUUUAACGCAUCGAAUCAGGAUCAAUGUGUUUUCAAUGGGUACUAGUAGUGUGCGUAUUAUUGGUAACGUCACCGACAUCAGCGGAGGUAGAUGUCCACCCCCAGCUGCCGUUUCUGUGUUGCCUACCAGAACAAUACGAAGCGUUCAUUAUAACGAGCAGCGCUCUGGUUGACGUUGAAGGCGGUGUCGGAGUCGGCGAUGGUAUGGGCUUCACUAACGGCACGAACCAGGUGGUGUACGAUGGCGUUAAUGAGCGGACGUAUAUACACUCGAGCACGGUGAAUUACUUGUCCUUCUACCCAAUUCCCGUGCGUCUGGACAGCAUUUAUAUUAUCGACUACAAACAUAACGUGCAAUAUCACGUGUACGGCGACGGUUCCUGUGACCUUCUUGACGUCGGGCUGCCGCUAUACAAGGAAUGUGUACCAGGAAAUGCGAGUGUGAUGUCCAGAGGCCGGCUGGGAAACUCGGGACCGGAAGUCCUUACUGUGAUGUUCCGUGACCGCAUAUACCUGGACCCAAAUGAGAUCACCCUUACACUGGCAAUGUCCGCUGACCGACCCGACGAGUGCCUGCCAAUCCGCGGCACGACCUCCCAAGCUUACGGGUUCGACUCCGACAAGAACGUCGACAUAGCAACCGUGGACGUGUUGGAUAUCACACGUGGGGUGCAAGAUACACGUGUUUUUAAUCCACCAUCUAACUGCAAAAGACCUCCGAAGGUACUGAUCGAUAGCAUUAACAUAAACUAGCAACUCAAUAUUUUAUUACAUGCACUCCCGUAAAGUGCCCAACGUUUUGAAGCAGUGUCGAUGUCCUGCAAAAUUUGCCGUUUGUAUUGUAGAUUGAUCUGUUGUGACACUGACCUUGUUCAAGUAUAUACUUGCAUGUUCACAAGUACAUGAAUGAUGAAAAUGAAUUAUCAUUACAUAUAUCACGAACCCAUUUACUACAUAGCGCAACCGUUUGGGGUUUAAAGAUUGUAUUCUCUUUUUAUACUCAUCUAUUUAUAAACAUUGAUGAUAACUAUUAUCAUAAUUAAACCUACACCCACACUGCUCUUAUUAUUGUUAUUUACGUUACUUAAUUCAUUUAGAGCUAUACAUAUUGAUUAUUGUAUAAUUUAUCUAUUUGGUAUGCUAUAUAGUACGUUUAAUUGCUCGCGUGUGAAUAAAUGGAUACGAACACAAUAUGGUCGCUUUCAUGGAUAAUCAUUAAUUGGGUACCAAGGUGCAUGGAAACAACAACAGUGUGCUGUUUCCCAGUUCAAUAUGAGGCUUUUAUGCUGGUUUCUGGCGGUGAGGCAAUCCUGAUGGGCGAGCAGGUAACCAGCCAGUUCGGUUAUGGCUACACAAACGGCUCGGUGCAAACGGCGUACGAUUCGAUAAACAAGCGCACCUACAUUCACCAGGAUAUCACCAGCAUCAACUCUAGAUACCCUGGCCAGCCGCAGCAGUGGAAUUUCAUAGACAUCAUUCACUAUGAGAAGAGAACCCGCUGGCGAAUAUACGGUGACAGCUCCUGUGAGAUAUACCACGAUGUGAUGUCGCCUCUUUGGGUAGAGUGUAUUCCAGAAAACGCGACGCUCGUGUCACGCGGUCGUAUUGGCUCACGAGGCGAGGGCGUCACCUACCGCUUCCGGCACUCCAUCUACCUGACCGCGUAUGAGUUGACCGUCACUGUCACUUUAGACGAUUCAAAUCCCGGACAGUGCUGGCCAGUAAGUGUAACGUCAUCGCAGUCAUAUCUGUCGCCUAGCAACAAGAACGUGGACAUGACAACAGCAAAAGUACUUGAUCUUACAGAGGGCAUACCAGAUGAACGGAUAUUUCAGCCGCCAAAUUCAUGUUUUGAAAAUUAAAAAAAUUAACACGUCAUUUUUAUGAUUGUAUUGAUUUAUUUACAGCAUUUUUAGAAGGUCAAUAGCCAAUGUAUAUGUAUUUAUAUGUAUAUUCGUACCUUUGUAAAUAUUAUUUGUUUUAAUGUUACGUUUUUUUCCCAAAAGUCUUCAAAAAUAGAAACAUGUUGGUUGGCCAUAACAUGUUGCAUCCGGUAGCUUUGCACACUAUACUUUAUAGUCUACGUUUCCAUGUUCUUGCCUAUAUCGACUAUAAAAUAUAUAUUAUGCAUUUA